GGAAUUUUGGACAAUGGGCGCAAGCCUGAUCCAGCAAUGCCGCGUGAGUGAAGAAGGCCUUCGGGUUGUAAAGCUCUUUUGUCAGGGAAGAAACGGUGAUCUCUAAUAUAGAUUGCUAAUGACGGUACCUGAAGAAUAAGCACCGGCUAACUACGUGCCAGCAGCCGCGGUAAUACGUAGGGUGCAAGCGUUAAUCGGAAUUACUGGGCGUAAAGCGUGCGCAGGCGGUUUUGUAAGACUGUCGUGAAAUCCCCGGGCUCAACCUGGGAAUGGCGAUGGUGACUGCAAGGCUAGAGUUUGGCAGAGGGGGGUAGAAUUCCACGUGUAGCAGUGAAAUGCGUAGAUAUGUGGAGGAACACCGAUGGCGAAGGCAGCCCCCUGGGUCAAAACUGACGCUCAUGCACGAAAGCGUGGGGAGCAAACAGGAUUAGAUACCCGAG
This 440-nucleotide ribosomal RNA is filed under the name uncultured Duganella sp. RNAcentral's name for it is "bacterial SSU rRNA". It matches the Rfam family "Bacterial small subunit ribosomal RNA", at positions 358 to 790 of the family's 1533-position model. The record is from RNAcentral. Lineage: Bacteria; Pseudomonadati; Pseudomonadota; Betaproteobacteria; Burkholderiales; Oxalobacteraceae.